This 922-nucleotide ribosomal RNA is filed under the name uncultured bacterium. Its description in RNAcentral is "bacterial SSU rRNA". It matches the Rfam family "Bacterial small subunit ribosomal RNA", at positions 8 to 963 of the family's 1533-position model. The record is from RNAcentral.
AGAGUUUGAUCCUGGCUCAGAAUCAACGCUGGCGGCGUGCCUAACACAUGCAAGUCGAACGAGAAAGGGGAGCAAUCCCUGAGUAAAGUGGCGCACGGGUGAGUAACACGUGACUAACCUACCCUGGAGUGGGGAAUAACUGAGGGAAACCUUAGCUAAUACCGCAUAACACCUACGGGUCAAAGGAGCAAUUCGCUUCAGGAGGGGGUCGCGGCCGAUUAGUUAGUUGGCGGGGUAGUGGCCCACCAAGACGAUGAUCGGUAUCCGGCCUGAGAGGGCGCACGGACACACUGGAACUGAAACACGGUCCAGACUCCUACGGGAGGCAGCAGUGGGGAAUUUUGCGCAAUGGGGGAAACCCUGACGCAGCAACGCCGCGUGGAGGAUGAAGUACUUCGGUACGUAAACUCCUUUCGAUCGGGACGAUAAUGACGGUACCGAGAGAAGAAGCCCCGGCUAACUUCGUGCCAGCAGCCGCGGUAAUACGAGGGGGGCGAGCGUUGUUCGGAAUUAUUGGGCGUAAAGGGUGCGUAGGCGGUUUGGUAAGUCUGAUGUGAAAUCUAUGGGCUCAACUCAUAGUCUGCAUCGGAAACUGCCGGGCUUGAGUAUGGGAGAGGUGAGUGGAAUUCCUGGUGUAGCGGUGAAAUGCGUAGAUAUCAGGAGGAACACCUGUGGCGAAAGCGGCUCACUGGACCAUAACUGACGCUGAUGCACGAAAGCUAGGGGAGCAAACAGGAUUAGAUACCCUGGUAGUCCUAGCCCUAAACGAUGACUGCUUGGUGUGACGGGUACCCAAUCCCGCCGUGCCGUAGCUAACGCGUUAAGCAGUCCGCCUGGGGAGUACGGUCGCAAGGCUGAACUCAAAGGAUUGACGGGGGCCCGCACAAGCGGUGGAGCAUGUGGUUUAAUUCGACGCAACGCG